AUGUUUAGGAAAAUAUACCAAGGUGGUUCCUCAAGGAAGCAAGGUCCAAGGCCCGCGAUACGUGAGCCGGACAAUGAACUACCAAGGGAAGCUCAAGUGCGGCCUUGUGAAUGGCCGUCAGAGGAGUUUAUGGUCGGAGCAGGUAUCAAGGAUGAAUUUGACGCGUAUGUGUGUAGUGCUGAUCUUGAGGGCUUCAUUUCAGAUAAGUGCCCGCAAUACCGUUACUUAACUGAUUCCUUUGUGAGAAGGUUUAAAUUUGCAUCCUCGCGUAAUUCUCACACUGUUUUAUUUGAUCUUUAUGAUAAAUCAUAUACCAUGGACCUAGAAGAUUUUAAUACUGCUUGUAAACUCCCGCAGUGGGGAAAUGUUAGUGAACCUCGCAAAUCUGAAUAUAAAGAAUAUCUUGCUAGUAUCACUAUGGGGGAAUCCAGAGAAAUCACACAAGCUACCAUAGGGAGCAUUCAUUUCCCUUCUAUACAUUAUUUUGCUCUCUUUAUAGGUAGGUGCAUUAACGGUAAGGAUGAGGCAUGUCACAUGUGCAUUCCAGAUCUUAGUGUUCUCAAGAGUGCGGUAUUAGGAGAUAAACAAUAUAACUUUGGGGCCAUUGUUGCACGCAGGUUGCAUCAUAACAGUAUAAGUAGAGAUUUGUUUGGUGGAAUUUAUGCAACUCGUUUAGCUAAUUAUCUUGAGGUACCCAUGCAUGAAAAUGAUAUGGAGUUGCCUCCUGCUUAUCUAGAUUAUAAUGCUAUGGUUCGCCACCAGUUUGUUGAGAGGAAUGAACAGUCCCUCCAGUACCGACUAAUCUUUGACAGACGUUGCACUGUCCAUGUUGCUCUCCUUGCUCUUGCUUUCUUUGACUUUCAGGCAAAAAGGAGAUAUGUUAUAACCAGGGAGGAGGCGAACGAGUAUGAGAGGAGGACGGAGGCAGCUCGCCUCCAAGCUACAGCUCGUCAGGCAGUAGCUGCUGCACCUCAAUACGACCCCAGCUUUAACUUUGGAUAUUAA
RNAcentral lists this ribosomal RNA (1005 nucleotides) under Triticum aestivum (bread wheat). RNAcentral describes it as "partial small subunit ribosomal RNA". Lineage: Eukaryota; Viridiplantae; Streptophyta; Magnoliopsida; Poales; Poaceae. The record is from RNAcentral.